AUAACUUCGGGAAACCGGAGCUAAUACGAUAAUAUUUCGAACCGCAUGGUUCGAUAGUGAAAGGUGGUUUUGCUAUCACUUAUAGAUGGACCCGCGCCGUAUUAGCUAGUUGGUAAGGUAACGGCUUACCAAGGCGACGAUACGUAGCCGACCUGAGAGGGUGAUCGGCCACACUGGAACUGAGACACGGUCCAGACUCCUACNGGGGAGGCAGCAGUU
RNAcentral lists this ribosomal RNA (219 nucleotides) under uncultured Staphylococcus sp. RNAcentral describes it as "partial 16S ribosomal RNA". It matches the Rfam family "Bacterial small subunit ribosomal RNA", at positions 143 to 355 of the family's 1533-position model. The record is from RNAcentral. Lineage: Bacteria; Bacillati; Bacillota; Bacilli; Caryophanales; Staphylococcaceae.